GACGAACGCUGGCGGCGGGCUUAACACAUGCAAGUCGAACGGAAAGGCCUGUCCUUCCUGGUGUUGGACGGGUACUCGAGUGGCGAACGGGGGAGUAACACGUGAUUUAUCUUCCCCCAACGUGUGUAUAAGCCUGGGAUACUGGGUCUAAUUCCCGAUAGUACUGCAGGGUGGUGCCGGUGUUGGAAACCGAUUUUCUAGUGUUUGGGGAUGAGCUCGCGGCCUAUCAGCUUGUUGGUAGGGUAAUGGCCUACCAAGGCGGCGACGGGUAGCCGGCCUGUGAGCGUGGACGGCCAAACUGGGACUGGGAUACGGCUCAGACUCCUACGGGAGGCAGCAGAGGGGAAUCUUGCGGAGUGGGCGGAAGCCUGACGCAGCGACGCAGCGUGGGGGAUGACGGGCUUCGGGUGGCCAACUGCUUUCGACGGAGAGGAAGCCGCUUGGUUGGCACGGUGGUGACGGUAGUGGUAGAAGAAGCACCGGCUAACUACGUG
RNAcentral lists this ribosomal RNA (494 nucleotides) under uncultured bacterium. Its description in RNAcentral is "partial 16S ribosomal RNA". It matches the Rfam family "Bacterial small subunit ribosomal RNA", at positions 28 to 507 of the family's 1533-position model. The record is from RNAcentral.